UCACUGCUUGCGCAGGCAGUCUCGCUAGAGUCCCCGGCAUAACCCGCUGGUAACUAGCAAUAGGGGUUGCGUUCGUUGCGGGACUUGACCCAACAUCUCACGACACGAACUGACGACAGCCAUGCAGCACCUCACUACCGGUCCGAAGAAGGGCCCCUUUCAGGGCCUGUCCGGUAGCGUUCGAGCCUGGGUAAGGUUCUUCGCGUUGCAUCGAAUUAAUCCACAUGCUCCACCGCUUGUGCGGGCCCCCGUCAAUUCCUUUGAGUUUCAACCUUGCGAUCGUACUCCCCAGGUGGAAUGCUUAACGCGUUAGCUUAGACACUGCCCCUAAAGCGGCGCAGCAUCGAGCAUUCAUCGUUUACGGCGUGGACUAC
This 374-nucleotide unclassified non-coding RNA is filed under the name uncultured Bacteroidota bacterium. RNAcentral's name for it is "uncultured Bacteroidetes bacterium contains 16S-23S intergenic spacer region". The record is from RNAcentral. Lineage: Bacteria; Pseudomonadati; Bacteroidota.